Molecule: unclassified non-coding RNA, 344 nt
Filed under: Hevea brasiliensis (rubber tree)
Lineage: Eukaryota; Viridiplantae; Streptophyta; Magnoliopsida; Malpighiales; Euphorbiaceae
Source: RNAcentral
AAGAUUGAUAAAGAAUUUAAAGAGGUUGGUGUUUUCUUUGGUUCCUGGAGAAGCUUCUUGCAAAUGUAGUUGGUUAAUGAGGAUUGUUGCUCCUCCAAUCAUUUUAGCCCAAUGGUGCCAGUGACUCAGUUGUCUACAAUUUUCAAUCUAUUGUAUUCUUAAUAAAUUCAAAAUGCUAUUGUUACAACUUUUUGCAAGUUUCUAAAACUCCAAAUAUACUUUUUUUUUUCAUAUAUUUAUUAUAACAAGGGAAAUGAAAAUUUGUAAUCUAGUAUGUUUUUCUAGGUUCCUUAUGCAAUUUAUAUCUUCUGGUAUGUUGACAGAGGAAGUCAAAUGGAGCUGCA